Molecule: transfer RNA, 76 nt
Filed under: Shewanella colwelliana
Lineage: Bacteria; Pseudomonadati; Pseudomonadota; Gammaproteobacteria; Alteromonadales; Shewanellaceae
Also listed under: 217 other names
Description: tRNA-Val
Rfam family: tRNA
About the family: Transfer RNA (tRNA) molecules are approximately 80 nucleotides in length. Their secondary structure includes four short double-helical elements and three loops (D, anti-codon, and T loops).
Source: RNAcentral
GGUCGAUUAGCUCAGCUGGGAGAGCACCUCCCUUACAAGGAGGGGGUCACUGGUUCGAGCCCAGUAUCGACCACCA